Molecule: ribosomal RNA, 497 nt
Filed under: uncultured bacterium
Lineage: Bacteria
Description: partial 16S ribosomal RNA
Rfam family: Bacterial small subunit ribosomal RNA
Source: RNAcentral
GAUGAACGCUGGCGGCGUGCCUAAUACAUGCAAGUCGAGCGAACGGACGAGAAGCUUGCUUCUCUGAUGUUAGCGGCGGACGGGUGAGUAACACGUGGAUAACCUACCUAUAAGACUGGGAUAACUUCGGGAAACCGGAGCUAAUACCGGAUAAUAUUUUGAACCGCAUGGUUCAAAAGUGAAAGACGGUCUUGCUGUCACUUAUAGAUGGAUCCGCGCUGCAUUAGCUAGUUGGUAAGGUAACGGCUUACCAAGGCAACGAUGCAUAGCCGACCUGAGAGGGUGAUCGGCCACACUGGAACUGAGACACGGUCCAGACUCCUACGGGAGGCAGCAGUAGGGAAUCUUCCGCAAUGGGCGAAAGCCUGACGGAGCAACGCCGCGUGAGUGAUGAAGGUCUUCGGAUCGUAAAACUCUGUUAUUAGGGAUGAACAUAUGUGUAAGUAACUGUGCACACCUUGACGGUACCUAAUCAGAAAGCCACGGCUAACUACGUG